Molecule: ribosomal RNA, 419 nt
Filed under: bacterium
Lineage: Bacteria
Description: partial 16S ribosomal RNA
Rfam family: Bacterial small subunit ribosomal RNA
Source: RNAcentral
UGGGGGAUAUUGCACAAUGGGCGAAAGCCUGAUGCAGCGACGCCGCGUGGGGGAUGAAGGCCUUCGGGUUGUAAACUUCUUUUGCUCUGAACAAGGCAUGCUAAUGGGUGUGUUGAGUGUAGGGGUUGAUUAGCGCCGGCUAACUACGUGCCAGCAGCCGCGGUAAUACGUAGGGCGCGAGCGUUGUCCGGAAUUAUUGGGCGUAAAGGGCUCGUAGGUGGCUGGUUGCGUCUGUCGUGAAAGCUCAUGGCUUAACUGUGGGUUUGCGGUGGGUACGGGCUGGCUUGAGUGCAGUAGGGGAGGCUGGAAUUCCUGGUGUAGCGGUGGAAUGCGCAGAUAUCAGGAGGAAUACCGGUGGCGAAGGCGGGUCUCUGGGCUGUUACUGACACUGAGGAGCGAAAGCAUGGGGGGCGAACAGG